GCCCGCGGCCUAUCAGCUUGUUGGUGGGGUGAUGGCCUACCAAGGCGACGACGGGUAGCCGGCCUGAGAGGGUGUCCGGCCACACUGGGACUGAGAUACGGCCCAGACUCCUACGGGAGGCAGCAGUGGGGAAUAUUGCACAAUGGGCGCAAGCCUGAUGCAGCGACGCCGCGUGGGGGAUGACGGCCUUCGGGUUGUAAACCUCUUUCAGUACCGACGAAGCGUAAGUGACGGUAGGUACAGAAGAAGCACCGGCCAACUACGUGCCAGCAGCCGCGGUAAUACGUAGGGUGCGAGCGUUGUCCGGAAUUACUGGGCGUAAAGAGCUCGUAGGUGGUUUGUCGCGUUGUCCGUGAAAACUCACAGCUUAACUGUGGGCGUGCGGGCGAUACGGGCAGACUGGAGUACUGCAGGGGAGACUGGAAUUCCUGGUGUAGCGGUGGAAUGCGCAGAUAUCAGGAGGAACACCGGUGGCGAAGGCGGGUCUCUGGGCAGUAACUGACGCUGAGGAGCGAAAGCGUGGGGAGCGAACAGGAUUAGAUACCCUGGUAGUCCACGCCGUAAACGGUGGGUACUAGGUGUGGGUUUCCUUCCUUGGGAUCCGUGCCGUAGCUAACGCAUUAAGUACCCCGCCUGGGGAGUACGGCCGCAAGGCUAAAACUCAAAGGAAUUGACGGGGGCCCGCACAAGCGGCGGAGCAUGUGGAUUAAUUCGAUGCAACGCGAAGAACCUUACCUGGGUUUGACAUGCACAG
RNAcentral lists this ribosomal RNA (754 nucleotides) under Mycobacterium sp. RNAcentral describes it as "bacterial SSU rRNA". It matches the Rfam family "Bacterial small subunit ribosomal RNA", at positions 229 to 993 of the family's 1533-position model. Lineage: Bacteria; Bacillati; Actinomycetota; Actinomycetes; Mycobacteriales; Mycobacteriaceae. The record is from RNAcentral.